RNAcentral lists this ribosomal RNA (133 nucleotides) under uncultured bacterium. RNAcentral describes it as "partial 16S ribosomal RNA". The record is from RNAcentral.
AGUUGGCCGGUGCUUCUUCUGUACCUACCGUCACUUGCGCUUCGUCGGUACUGAAAGAGGUUUACAACCAAGGCCGUCAUCCCUCACGCGGCGUUGCUGGAUCAGGCUUCCGCCCAUUGUCCAAUAUUCCCCA